AUCCUUGCGCUUGGGGCAAUGACGCAGCUAAUGAGGUUAUACCGAGGCGCGUCAAUUGCUGGUUGAAAACUACUCCCUCCGUUCCGAAUUACUCCUAGUGUAAACUAAUAUAAGAGUGUUUAGAUUACUAAAGUAGUGAUCUAAACACUCUUAUAUUAGUUUACGGAGGGGGUACUUGUUU
This 181-nucleotide small nuclear RNA is filed under the name Aegilops tauschii subsp. strangulata. RNAcentral describes it as "snRNA U4". The stretch from base 1 to 149 matches the Rfam family "U4 spliceosomal RNA". Rfam says of the family: U4 small nuclear RNA (U4 snRNA) is a component of the major U2-dependent spliceosome. The record is from RNAcentral. Lineage: Eukaryota; Viridiplantae; Streptophyta; Magnoliopsida; Poales; Poaceae.